GACGAACGCUGGCGGCGUGCUUAACACAUGCAAGUCGAACGGUGAAGCGCCUUCCUUUUUGGUGGGUGUGGAUGAGUGGCGAACGGGUGAGUAACACGUGAGUAACCUGCCCCCUUCUUCUGGAUAACCGCAUGAAAGUGUGGCUAAUACGGGAUAUUCUGGGUCUGUCGCAUGAUGGGUCUGGGAAAGAUAUUGUUUCGGUGGGGGAUGGGCUCGCGGCCUAUCAGCUUGUUGGUGGGGUGAUGGCCUACCAAGGCGGUGACGGGUAGCCGGCCUGAGAGGGUGGACGGUCACACGGGGACUGAGACACGGCCCAGACUCCUACGGGAGGCAGCAGUGGGGAAUAUUGCACAAUGGGAGCAAGCCUGAUGCAGCGACGCCGCGUGAGGGAUGGAGGCCUUCGGGUUGUGAACCUCUUUCGCCAGUGAAGCAGGCCUGCCUCGUUUGUGGGUGGGUUGACGGUAGCUGGAUAAGAAGCGCCGGCUAACUACGUG
Molecule: ribosomal RNA, 494 nt
Filed under: uncultured bacterium
Lineage: Bacteria
Description: partial 16S ribosomal RNA
Rfam family: Bacterial small subunit ribosomal RNA
Source: RNAcentral